CAGCAGCCGCGGUAAUACGUAGGUGGCAAGCGUUGUCCGGAAUUAUUGGGCGUAAAGGGCCCGCAGGCGGUUCCUUAAGUCUGAUGUGAAAGCCCCCGGCUCAACCGGGGAGGGUCAUUGGAAACUGGGAAACUUGAGUGCAGAAGAGGAGAGUGGAAUUCCACGUGUAGCGGUGAAAUGCGUAGAAAUGUGGAGGAACACCAGUGGCGAAGGCGACUCUCUGGUCUGUAACUGACGCUGAGGAGCGAAAGCGUGGGGAGCGAACAGGAUUAGAUACCCCAGUAGUCCCUGUCUCUUAUAC
This 301-nucleotide ribosomal RNA is filed under the name uncultured bacterium. Its description in RNAcentral is "partial 16S ribosomal RNA". It matches the Rfam family "Bacterial small subunit ribosomal RNA", at positions 509 to 807 of the family's 1533-position model. The record is from RNAcentral.